This 557-nucleotide ribosomal RNA is filed under the name uncultured bacterium. Its description in RNAcentral is "bacterial SSU rRNA". It matches the Rfam family "Bacterial small subunit ribosomal RNA", at positions 774 to 1342 of the family's 1533-position model. The record is from RNAcentral.
AGUGAAUAGAUACCCUGGUAGUCCACGCCGUAAACUAUGGAUGCUGGCUGUUACUCGUAUCGACCCGAGUAGUAGCGAAAGCUAACGCGUUAAGCGUCCCGCCUGUGGAGUACGGCCGCAAGGCUAAAACAUAAAGGAAUUGACGGGGACCCGCACAAGCGGUGGAGCGUGUUCUUUAAUUCGAAGGUAAGCGAAGAACCUUACCAGGGUUUGACAUCCUCGGAAUUUCUCCGAAAGGAGAGAGUGCUUUAUUGAACCGAGUGACAGGUGAUGCAUGGCCGUCGUCAGCUCGUGUCGUGAGAUGUUUGGUUAAGUCCAUCAACGAGCGCAACCCUUAUAUUUAGUUGGAUUUUUCUAAAUAGACUGCCCCGGUAACGGGGAGGAAGGAGGGGAUGAUGUCAGGUCAGUAUUUCCCUUACAUCCUGGGCUAGAAACACGCUACAAUGGCCGGUACAAAGGGCAGCCAAGUCGUGAGACGGAGCAAAUCCCAUCAAAGCCGGUCCCAGUUCGGAUAGCAGGCUGAAAUUCGUCUGCUUGAAGUCGGAAUCGCUAGUAAC